AUCAUCCAGAGCAGCGGAAGGACUGGCCUAAUGAUGCUGCGGCAACCUACAAGUGUAAGGUGCCAAUUCCAGCAGGAACAGAUGCCUGAUAGAUGAGU
This 98-nucleotide non-coding RNA is filed under the name uncultured Megasphaera sp. RNAcentral describes it as "SAM riboswitch (S box leader)". It matches the Rfam family "SAM riboswitch aptamer (S box leader)". Rfam says of the family: The SAM riboswitch is found upstream of a number of genes which code for proteins involved in methionine or cysteine biosynthesis in Gram-positive bacteria. Lineage: Bacteria; Bacillati; Bacillota; Negativicutes; Veillonellales; Veillonellaceae. The record is from RNAcentral.